Non-coding RNA from Oryctolagus cuniculus (rabbit), 6530 nucleotides. The record is from RefSeq and is a predicted model, not a curated record. NCBI's taxonomy places the organism in Eukaryota, Metazoa, Chordata, Mammalia, Lagomorpha, Leporidae.
CCUGCUAGAAAUGCCCGCGGAAACCAUGCCCCACCCCAACCCCAACUCCACCCCAGUCUGUUUUGUGUUUGGUCGCCCAGUCUUGGCCUCUCCCGCAACCCUGCUCCCGGGGCUACCCCGUGUCUUCACUGCAAACAUGGGUGGAAUUUUCCUUCCAGCCUAGCCCUGUGCCAAGCUCUUCCUCUGCCCCCUGUGGCCCUCAUGACAAGCCUCCACCAUCCAUGGGCACCUGGAGAGAUAAAGCAACUCAGCAGAAGCUGUAGCUGGGGCAGGAACUCAGACUGUCCCUUUGAUGAGACGAAACAGCUGCCCAUUGGUGAAACAAAGGACCAUCACUUGGGAACCGGGCAAGCUCCACCACUCCGACAGCAUCAGCUGUGGCGCCGCCCACACCCCAGAGGUUGAGAAUUUGAAGCCAGUUCGGCUCGUUCUCCAUCAUAGGCAUUUUCUGCAUGCCCGUUCUGUGACAUCUGCUUCCAGACAGACGCUGGUUUUCUGGCCGUCUCCCCACAAGGUCACCAGGCCCCUGCUCUCAGCCUUGACAAUGGAGUCUUACCACACGAGAGAGCAAAACCCAAACUUCUGCCCCAGGUGACUCAGGCCUAGCCUCCCUCUCAUCUCUGUUGCUCACCUGACUGCACGAUUCUGGCCUCCAUCUGUCACCCCUUCCAGGAGCACUUUUAGUUUUAGCUUGCUCACUGAUUUAUGCUCUGACUACCCCGCCUUUCUCAACCAGGAAGCUCACACAGGUAAUGCUGAGGCCUGCAAUGCCAGCAUCUCGUAUGGGCUCCAGUUCAAGACCCGGCUGCUCCACUUCUGAUCCAGCUCCCUGCUAAUGUGCCUGGGAAAGCAACAGAGGAUGGCCCAAGUCCUUGGGCUCCUGCACCCAUGUCGGAGACCCAGAAGAAGCUCCUGCCUCCUGGCUUCAGCCUGGCCCAGCCCUGGCUGAGUGAACCAGUGAAUAAAAGGUAUCUUUCUCUCUCUGUCUCUUCUUUUCUCUGUGUAACUUUUUCUUAUAUAUACAUACAUAUACAUAUACAUGUAUAUGUAUAUUUAUAUAUAUGCACACACAUAUAUAUAUAUAUAUUGGGGCCUGCGCUGUGGUGUAGUGGGUAAAGCUACCACCUGCAGUGCUAGCAUCCCAUAUGGGCGCCGGUUCAAGUCCCAGCUGCUCCAUUCCCUAUCCAGCUCUCUGCUGUGGCCUGGAAAAGUAGUAGAAGAUGGCCCAAGUCCUUGGGCCCCUGCACCUGUGUGGGAGACUGGGAAGAAGCUCCUGGCUCCUGGCUUCGGAUCAGCCCAGUUCUGGCCAUUGCAGCCUUCUGGGGAGUGAACCAGCAGAUGGAAGACCUCUCUCUCUCUCUCUCUCUCUCUCUCUCUCUCUCUCACUCUGCCUUUCAAAUAAAUAAAUAAAUCUUAAAAAUAAAUAAAUUCAUUAUGUGUGUGUGUAUAUAUAUAUAUUUGUUUGAAAGGCAGUUGCAGAGAGAGGCAGAGAUAUCUUCCAUCUCUUGGUUCAUUUCCCAAAUGCCCACAACAGCCGCGGCUGGGCCAGGCCAAAACCAGGAGCCAGAAACUCAAUCUGGGUCUCUCACAUGGGUGGCAGGGUCCCAAGAACUUGGGUCAUCACCUUCUCCCCUGCCUCUGCCCCUGCCAAGAUGUACAUUAACAGGAAGUUGGAAUUAGAAAUAGGGUCAGGACUCAACCCAGGCACUCUGAUAUGGGAUGCAGGCAUCCCGAGUAGCUUUUUUAACCACUGUUCUGAAUGCCCGCCCCAGGGAACAGCUUUUGAAAACAGAGAGAGUGCCUCCCCCCAGAGCGGAGGGCAGUCUUGCUGCACAGAAAAGGAAAGGCAUGUCACUGCCCACUGUAAAAGAUUUGGGUCCCGGGGCCCAGAGCUCCUCUCCUGCAAUGUAAGCUACCGUGAGUGCAUCUGCCCUCUGGUCCUCUUCAGCUGAGGAGCCAACACCAGAAAAUGCCGAUACUCUGCUACCACUAUCGCUGGAAAUAAUGCAAUCCUUUCCCUCUGACCCAGGGAUCUCAUGUCUUCUGCCAGCAUCUGUGACACUGGUAGAAUAACUAACUUGCUUGCAGGGAAGGUAAAAUCCCAAACCUUCCCGAGUCCUUGAUAACAGCCACCAAGGUUACUGCAGGUGAGGCAGCUCCACUUCACUCAUGCACCCAGCAUCUGGUGACAGCAGGUACAGCAACCUUGAAGUCUAUGCUAUUUCUGGGGCAUAAAAUUACCAAGGACUUUAUUGAGAAGCUGUCACAACACCAUAUAAAGCACGAAAGAGAGCCUCAUUAGCGUUGCAAUGUUUAUAAGCUUUGCAGUACAAAGAUGUGGCCAAUUUUGCAUCUUCUACCUAAAAACAGAAGACGGGUGCAGUUUCUCAAGGCCUUUGCACUAUCUUUUUUGGCGCAUCUGCAUUGGUCUACUGGAGGACCACGCUCUGCAGUGCUGGGUGGCACCUGGGGGCUUCCCUUCCAUAAUCCUUACAGACCAACCUGGGCCGAGAGGGGUUUCUGCUCUCCCACCCCAUACUUGCAUAUUGAUAUUUUUAAAAAUUAGCUGCAUGACUUUCUAAUAAAAGGAUUCUUUAGGGCUGGCAUUGUGGCCUAGGGGGCUAAGCCUUCACUUGUGACAUCAGUGUCCCAUAUCAGAAUGCCAAUUCAAAUCCCUGCUGCUCUGCUUCAGAUCCAGCUCCCUGCUAAUGUGCCUGGGAAAGUAUCAGAAGAUGGCUCAAGGUGGCCCCUACCACCCACCUGGCACAGUCAGAUGGAGUUCCAGGCUCCUGGCUUCAGCCUGGCCCAGUUCUGGCCUUUAGGGCCACUUGGGAAAAUGAACCAGUAGAUGAAAAAACUCUUUCUCUCCAUGUGUCUUCCUUUCUCUCUGCCUUUCAAGUAAAUCUUUAAAAAAAGUUCUUGAGUACCAAAAAUAAAAUAUAAUUCCCUAUAAUGGCAAAAAUAUGUUCCAGUGUCAAAAAAGAACAUUUCAAAGCCUGAGAAAAAUUUCAGCUAUGAGUUCGUUCUCCUCCUCCCUGUUUUAUAAAUCAGUUUCUUUAUUUUGGGAUGGAAGGAAUCAAUCAUUAGGAAAAAGAAUAGAGAAAUCCUUUAAAAAUUAAUUCACGCAUCAAAAAUAUGUAUUGAUUUCCUACCAGUACUGAGUUCAGUGGAGAACAGAAACAUGGAAUGGCAUUUGCCCCACCCUUGAGGAAUUUACUGUCUCAUUAGGGAGGUGACUGGAGCAUGGGUCAUCCGAACUGAAGGGAAGGGGACGCCGAUCCGGAGAUCUGCGCUUACUGUAAAGAGAGAGGGCUGCUCAGCCACUCUGAGUCAACCAGGCUGCUCCACACACUCAUUACCUAACGUGCAACUACAAAUCAGAAGUAGGCCAAGGGUCAUGUGCGUGCGCUUGCGCAAUACUCGGAGAGAGGCUGCAAAGAGCGCCUCAGCAUUCCUGUUCUCCACGCCCUCAGUGGUCCCUGCGGAGGUGUUUUUCCUGGGGACUCUCGGAGGACGUCCAGGAGGGCCGACAUCCAGGAAGUGCGUCCUCUAACCCCGGAGCUCACCGAGAAGACCCGGGAGUCUCCUGUCUCUGGCCCCGCCCCUUCCUUGGCACUCACACAAGAAUUUCGUGACAUCUCUCCGCACCGCCUAAAUGCUAAUUACAGAUGUGGGUCUACACACAUGACCGCCUCCGCGGAUGGAAAUACCUUGAGGUGGUCAGGGCGAGGACACAGUUGCACAAUCCUUGCCUCUGCCACAAUUCCCACCAAAAAGAAGAAGAAAGAAAAAAAAAAUGAGACACUUUGCCACCAAAGCCAAUGGGCCCAGCUCAUAAAAUUACCCACCCCGACACAGGGCACUCAAACAGCCUGUCAUCACGGGACUUGUUCAUCAUUCUUCCAACAUGGGCUGGUUAGAAUGGAGCAACCCACGGACUUGUUGACAAUGGUUUGUGCAAGCUUUGGACUAGGGAAUAAACAGCUCGAAACUAUGUGUAGGGCUAACCACUUCUCUAGUUGGAGAGAUUAGUCUGGGGGAUGUGGUGCUCUGAGAGUUAGUUAACUAGCAUUACUGGUUUCCCAGUGAUGCGCAGUCAGCCGGGCCUUUGGCCAGAAAGAGUAGGUAGCUCAGGAAAUACGAGGGCACUUCAGAAAGUUUCUGGGGAAAUAGAAUGAAAAGAUAUGUUUAUUUGGGUGUGCGAAUUGAAAACCCAGGGCCGGCCCUGUGGCAUAGUGCGUUAAGUCACUGCCUGCAGCGCCAGCAUCCCAUAUGGACAGUGGUUGGAUUCCCGGCUGUUCCACUUCUGAUCCAGCUCCCUGCUUAUGUGCCUGGGAAGGUGGAGGAGGAUGGUCCAAGUGCUUGGGCCCCUGCUACCCAAGUGGGAGACCUGAAUGAAGCAGCUGUCUCCUGGCUUCAGCUUGUUCCAGCUGUGGUGUGGCCACUUGGGGAGUGAACCAGUGGAUGGAAGAUCUCUCUCUCCCUCUCUCUUUAACUCUUUCAAAUAAAUAAAUAAAUCUUAAAAAAAAAAAAGGAAAGAAGAGGGCACAUAAAAUAUAUACUCUGGGGGCUGGCACUGUGGUGUAGCGGGUAAAGCUGCAGCCUGCAGUGCCGGCAUCCCAUAUGGGCUCUUGUUCAAGUUUCGGAUGCUCCACUUCCAAUCCAGCUCUGUGCUAUGGCCUGGGAAAGCAAUAAAUGGCCCAAGUCCUUGGGCCCCUGCACCCAUGUGGGAGACCCAGAAGAAGCUCCUGGCUCCUGACUUCAGAUCGGCACAGCUUCGGCCUUUGCAGCCAUUUGGGGAGUGAAGCAGCGGAUGGAAGACCUUUCUCUCUCUCUCUGCCUCUGUCUCUCUGUAACUUUGCCUUUCAAACAAUUAAAUAAAUCUAAAAAAAAAAAAAAAAAGAUGCACUCUGGAGAUGAAGUCUAUGUGGCUCUCUAAGGAUUGGAUGUGGGAGGUGAGAGCAAAGGGAGAACCAAACACUGUGUCUUGCUCGAGCACCUGGUGGAUGCCUUUUAUUGAAACUGAACCAUGAACUUGGUGCCCAUGUUUUCUCCCCCACAUUUACAUCUUGGAUCCCCAGUGUGAUCCGAUUGGGGGUGGGGCUUUGGUGCGGUGAUAAGGUUCUGAGCCUGCAACCCUCAUGGAUGGAACUGGAGCACUUGUGAAACAGUCCGCUGCUGUCCUGUUUCGGAUGUAGGAGGAUGCAGGGAGGGAGCUGGGACUCCCAGUCUCCAGCACUGAGCAGCGCAAUGCUGUUGCCUGUAAGCCGCUUUGUCUCGCACCCAGAACCAACAGAAGGGAAAAACAAAACAAAACAAAACAACAACAACAAAACCAGGCAGAUAGAGGGAGGAGAGGUGUGUGCUCAGAACGGAGUGAGGAAAAAUGCAAAUUGAAGUUUGGGGUGUUUAUAGGACACAAUACUGCUAGAGUCAAGCCCCAGAACCGCUCAGAAACAGAAGCGCCCACCCAGGCCAGACACCGCAUCUCCAGCCACAAGAUUGUAGGGGGCCCCUCUCGUGCACAGCACUGGCUUGUGAUGGGCUGCGCCCCCUGAAUCCCAGGAGCCCCCUGGAGGCGCACUGUCGCCUCCCUCUCUAACGCAGUACAGCCUCUUCCGCAGGACACAGAAUGGGCCCUUGCAGGCUUGCUACGCCGGGGAGCUUUUCAGACGCUCUUUAUACCUCCACAUGGUUCUCUUUGCAAACGCAAAGUAUGAAAACCCAAACCGUGGGGCCAGUGUUGUGGCGCAGGGGGUCAAGCUGCCACCUGCGACACCAGCAUCCAGUAUUUGAUUUUGAGUUCGAGUCCUAGCUGCUCUGUUCCCAAUCCAGCUCCCUGCUAGCGCACCUGGAAGGCAGCAGAAGGUAGGCCCAAGUGCUUGGUCCCUGCCACCCACGUGGGAGACCAGGAUGGAGGUGCAGGCUCCUGGCUUUGACCUGGCCCAGCACUGGCAGUUACGGCUAUUUGGGGAAUAAACCAGUAGUUGGAAGAUCUCUCUUUCUCUCUGUGCCUCCUUUCUCUGUGUCACUCUACUGCUUAGAUAAACAAAAAAUCUUAAGAAAAAUUUCAAAACAUAUAAAAUUGUCAAUCUCCCCCUCAAAACAGAAAGUGAGGGGGCCGACACUGUGGCAUAGUUGACUAAGCCUCCACCUACAGCACCAGCAUCCCAUAUGGGCAGUUCUAGUUCUGGCUGCUCCUCUUCCGAUCCAGCUCUCUACUAUGGCCUGGGAAAGCAGUAGAAGAUGGCCCAAGUCCUUGGGCCCCUGCACCCACGUCAGAGACCCAGAAGAAGCUCCUGGCUUCAGAUUGGCUCAGCUCUGGCUGUUGCAGGCAUUUGGGGAGUGAACCAGCAGAUAGAAAACCUUUCUCUCUGUCUCUCCCUCUUUCUGUCUGUAACUCUAACUCUCAAAUAAAUAAAUAAAAUCUUUCUUUUUUUUAAAAGGUCUUCCUUCCGUUGGUUCACCCCCCAAAUGGCUGCUAUGGCAGGCGCUGCGCCGAUCCGAAGCCAGGAGCCAGGUGCUUCCUC